Molecule: long non-coding RNA, 1209 nt
Filed under: Homo sapiens (human)
Lineage: Eukaryota; Metazoa; Chordata; Mammalia; Primates; Hominidae
Description: HSALNT0082379
Source: RNAcentral
UCUCAGCAGAGUGGCUACAAACUUUAGCCCUGCCCUGAUGAGAUUCCUGGGCAUUUGGUCACGGAUGUUGACAGUGUGCCUUUUACUAACGACUUCAUUCUGGCAGACAGCCUACUGCCUAAAUGUCCAACCUGUGACCAGGCCUCCCUUCCACAAGAAGCUUGUUGAUACUGGCAGACACCCUGUGGCUCUUGCCUGACCUGUGUGCAGUUUAUUCCUACCAGGAUGGCCGAUCUCUAGGAGAGUCUUGACGGAGAAAGAAGCUGGGUUCAGAUGCAGCUGGAGAGCCUGGGGUGAGAACAUGAGCAGUCUAUAAUCAGAAAAUCCCUUUGGGAUAAAUUGACAAAAAUAUAAACCACUCCACAAAGGAGAAAUUGUAAAUGAAAAUGACAUGAGAAGGAAGAAGAUCACUUCAGAGAGCCUGCAGCUCAGAACAGUGGGAACAUCAAAGGUUCCCCAUGUGUCAUUUCAUCUGAUCUUCAUGUUGUAAGGGCAAAAGAAACAAUCAAUAAACAGAUAAUCUACAGAAUGGUAAAAAAUAUUUGUGAGCUAUGCAUUUGACCAAAGGCUAAUAUCCAGAAUCUACAAGGAAUUCAGACAACUCAACAAGGCAAAAACAACCCCAUUAAAAAGUGGGGGAAAGACAUGAAAAGACAUUUUUUCAAAAGAAGACAUACAAAUGGUCAAGAAAAAUAUAAGCAAAUUCUCAACAUCACUAAUCAUCAGAUAAAUGCAAAUUAAAACCACAAGAAUAUACCAUCUUACACCAGAGAAAAUGCCUAUUAUUAAAAAGUCUAAAAACAACAGAUGUUGGUGAGGAUGCAAGAAAAAGGGAACACAUAUACAUUGUUUUUGGAAAUGUAAAUUAGUUCAACCUUUCUGAACAACAGUACAGAGAUUUCUCAGAGAACUAAAAAAAGAACUACCAUUCAAUCUAGCAAUCUGACUACUGGGUAUCUACCCAAAGGGAAAUAAAUCAUUACAUCCAAAAGACACCUGCACUCCUGUGUUUAUCACAACACUAUUCACAAUAGCAAACAUAUGGAAUCAAACUAAGAGUCCAUUAACAGACGACUGCAUAAAGAAGAUGUGGCAUAUAUAUUCCUUGUAAUACUACGUGAACAUAAAAAGAAUAAAAUCGGCUGAUUGCAGUGGCUCACACCUGUAAUCCCAGCACUUUGGGAGGCUGAGGCGGGUGGAUCAUGAAGU